AUUGAACGCUGGCGGCAGGCCUAACACAUGCAAGUCGAGCGAGUGGCGGACGGGUGAGUAAUGUAUGGUGAUCUGCCCGAUAGAGGGGGAUCAAUACUGGAAACGGUGGCUAAUACCGCAUUCUAUCGGAUGAACCCAUAUGGGAUUAGCUAGUGGGUGGGGUACAGGCUCACCUAGGCGACGAUCUCUCGCUGGUCUGAGAGGAUGAACAGCCACACUGGAACGUGGAAACGGCCCAGAUCCCGCCGGGAGGCACCAGUGGGGAAUAUUGGACAAUGGGGGCAGGCCUGAGGAGGACAGGCCGCGUGUAUGAAGAAGGCCUUAGGGUUUUAAAGUACUUUCAGCGGGGAGGCGUUACCCGCAGAAGAAGCACCGGCUAACUCCGUGCCAGCAGCCGCGGUAAUUC
This 406-nucleotide ribosomal RNA is filed under the name uncultured bacterium. RNAcentral's name for it is "partial 16S ribosomal RNA". It matches the Rfam family "Bacterial small subunit ribosomal RNA", at positions 30 to 526 of the family's 1533-position model. The record is from RNAcentral.